CCUGCGGGUGGCUGCAGUGGGGAAUAUUGGACAAUGGGCGAAAGCCUGAUCCAGCCAUGCCGCGUGUGUGAAGAAGGCCUUCGGGUUGUAAAGCACUUUCAGUGGGGAAGAAAGCCUUGGGGCUAAUACCCUCGAGGAAGGACAUCACCCACAGAAGAAGCACCGGCUAACUCCGUGCCAGCAGCCGCGGUAAUACGGAGGGUGCAAGCGUUAAUCGGAAUUACUGGGCGUAAAGCGCGCGUAGGCGGUCUGAUAAGCCGGUUGUGAAAGCCCCGGGCUCAACCUGGGAACGGCAUCCGGAACUGUCAGGCUAGAGUGCAGGAGAGGAAGGUAGAAUUCCCGGUGUAGCGGUGAAAUGCGUAGAGAUCGGGAGGAAUACCAGUGGCGAAGGCGGCCUUCUGGACUGACACUGACGCUGAGGUGCGAAAGCGUGGGUAGCAAACAGGAUUAGAUACCCUAGUAGUC
This 465-nucleotide ribosomal RNA is filed under the name Vreelandella stevensii. Its description in RNAcentral is "partial 16S ribosomal RNA". It matches the Rfam family "Bacterial small subunit ribosomal RNA", at positions 338 to 795 of the family's 1533-position model. The record is from RNAcentral. Lineage: Bacteria; Pseudomonadati; Pseudomonadota; Gammaproteobacteria; Oceanospirillales; Halomonadaceae.